This 222-nucleotide ribosomal RNA is filed under the name uncultured bacterium. Its description in RNAcentral is "partial 16S ribosomal RNA". It matches the Rfam family "Bacterial small subunit ribosomal RNA", at positions 524 to 743 of the family's 1533-position model. The record is from RNAcentral.
UACGUAGGGUGCAAGCGUUGUCCGGAAUUAUUGGGCGUAAAGAGCUCGUAGGCGGUCUGUCGCGUCUGCUGUGAAAACUCAGGGCUUAACCCUGAGCUUGCAGUGGGGUACGGGCGGACUAGAGUGAUGUAGGGGAGACUGGAAUUCCUGGUGUAGCGGUGAAAUGCGCAGAUAUCAGGAGGAACACCGGUGGCGAAGGCGGGCCUCUGGGCAGUAAACUGA